Molecule: ribosomal RNA, 440 nt
Filed under: uncultured bacterium
Lineage: Bacteria
Description: partial 16S ribosomal RNA
Rfam family: Bacterial small subunit ribosomal RNA
Source: RNAcentral
CCUACGGGGGGCAGCAGUAGGGAAUAUUGCUCAAUGGGGGAAACCCUGAAGCAGCAACGCCGCGUGGAGGAUGAAGGUUUUCGGAUUGUAAACUCCUUUUGUUAGAGAAGAUAAUGACGGUAUCUAACGAAUAAGCACCGGCUAACUCCGUGCCAGCAGCCGCGGUAAUACGGAGGGUGCAAGCGUUACGCGGAAUCACUGGGCGUAAGGAGCGCGUAGGCGGGAUAGCAAGUCAGAUGUGAAAUCCUAUGGCUUAACCAUAGAACUGCAUUUGAAACUGUUAUUCUAGAGUAUGGGAGAGGUAGGUGGAAUUCUUGGUGUAGGGGUAAAAUCCGUAGAGAUCAAGAGGAAUACUCAUUGCGAAGGCGACCUGCUAGAACAUAACUGACGCUGAUGCGCGAAAGCGUGGGGAGCAAACAGGAUUAGAUACCCCAGUAGUC